Molecule: ribosomal RNA, 364 nt
Filed under: uncultured bacterium
Lineage: Bacteria
Description: bacterial SSU rRNA
Rfam family: Bacterial small subunit ribosomal RNA
Source: RNAcentral
AUAGGAUGCAAGCGUUAUCCGGAUUUACUGGGUUUAAAGGGUGUGCAGGUGGGGUAAUAAGUCAGUGGUGAAAGCCCCCGACUCAAUCGGGGAACUGCCAUAGAUACUGUUAUUCUUGAGUGUGGUUGAGGCGGAUGGAAUAUGACAUGUAGCGGUGAAAUGCUUAGAUAUGUCAUAGAACACCGAUCGCGAAGGCAGUCCGCCAAACCAUUACUGACACUGAAACACGAAAGUGCGGGGAUCAAACAGGAUUAGAUACCCUGGUAGUCCGCACCGUAAACGAUGAUCACUCGUUGUUGGCGAUACACAGUCAGCGACUAAGCGAAAGCAUUAAGUGAUCCACCUGGGAAGUACGACCGCAAGG